This 497-nucleotide ribosomal RNA is filed under the name uncultured bacterium. RNAcentral describes it as "partial 16S ribosomal RNA". It matches the Rfam family "Bacterial small subunit ribosomal RNA", at positions 28 to 507 of the family's 1533-position model. The record is from RNAcentral.
GAUGAACGCUGGCGGCGUGCCUAAUACAUGCAAGUCGAGCGAACGGACGAGACUCUUGCUUCUCUGAUGUUAGCGGCGGACGGGUGAGUAACACGUGGAUAACCGACCUAUAAGACUGGGAUAACUUCGGGAAACCGGAUCUAAUACCGGAUAAUAUUUUGAACCGCAUGGUUCAAAAGUGAAAGACGGUCUUGCUGUCACUUCUAGAUGGAUCCGGGCUGCAGUAGCUAGUUGGUACGGUAACGGCCUACCAAGGCAACGAUGCAUAGCCGACCUGAGAGGGUGAUCGGCCACACUGGAACUUAGACACGGUCCAGACUCCUACGGGAGGCAGCAGUAGGGAAUCUUCCGCAAUGGGCGAAAGCCUGACGGAGCAACGCCGCGUGAGCGAUGAAGGUCUUCGGAUCGUAAAACUCUGUUAUUAGGGAAGAACAUAUGUGGAAGUAACUGUGCACAUCUUGACGGUACCUAAUCAGAAAGCCACGGCUAACUACGUG